GACGAACGCUGGCGGCGUGCUUAACACAUGCAAGUCGAACGGUAAGGCCCUUCGGGGUACACGAGUGGCGAACGGGUGAGUAACACGUGGGUGAUCUGCCCUGCACUUCGGGAUAAGCCUGGGAAACUGGGUCUAAUACCGGAUAGGACUCCGGACUGCAUGGUCUGGGGUGGAAAGCUUUUACGGUGUGGGAUGGGCCCGCGGCCUAGCAGCUUGUUGGUGGGGUGAUGGCCUACCAAGGCGACGACGGGUAGCCGGCCUGAGAGGGUGACCGGCCACACUGGGACUGAGAUACGGCCCAGACUCCUACGGGAGGCAGCAGUGGGGAAUAUUGCACAAUGGGCGCAAGCCUGAUGCAGCGACGCCGCGUGAGGGAUGACGGCCUUCGGGUUGUAAACCUCUUUCAGCAUCGACGAAGCGAAAGUGACGGUAGGUGCAGAAGAAGGACCGGCCAACUACGUGCCAGCCGCCGCAGUAA
RNAcentral lists this ribosomal RNA (478 nucleotides) under uncultured bacterium. RNAcentral's name for it is "partial 16S ribosomal RNA". It matches the Rfam family "Bacterial small subunit ribosomal RNA", at positions 28 to 523 of the family's 1533-position model. The record is from RNAcentral.